RNAcentral lists this ribosomal RNA (543 nucleotides) under uncultured Pelobacter sp. Its description in RNAcentral is "bacterial SSU rRNA". It matches the Rfam family "Bacterial small subunit ribosomal RNA", at positions 355 to 894 of the family's 1533-position model. The record is from RNAcentral. Lineage: Bacteria; Pseudomonadati; Thermodesulfobacteriota; Desulfuromonadia; Desulfuromonadales; Desulfuromonadaceae.
UGGGGAAUUUUGGACAAUGGGCGCAAGCCUGAGCCAGCCAUGCCGCGUGCAGCAUGAAGGCCUUCGUGUUGUAAACUGCUUUUGUACGGAACGAAUAGACUCUGGUUAAUACCUGGGGUCCAUGACGGUACCGUAAGAAUAAGCACCGGCUAACUACCGUGCCAACAGCCGGCGUAAUACCUAGGGUGCCUACGUUAAUCGGAAUUACUUGGCGUAAAGCGGGCCCAGGCGGUUAUGUAAGACAUAUGGGAAAUCCCCGGGCUCAACCUGGGAACUGCAUUUGUGACUGGAUAACUUGAGUACGGCAGAGGGGGAUGGAAUUCCCCGUGUAGCAGUGAAAUGCGUAAAUAUGCGGAGCUACACCGAUGGCGAAGGCAAUCCCUUGGGCCCGUGCUGACGCUCAUGCACGAAAGCGUGGGGAGCAAACAGAUUAAAUACCCUGGUAGUCCACGCCCUAAACGAUGUCAUCUGGUGUUGGGUCUUCCCUUCUCAGUACGACUAAGCUAAGCGCGAAGUUGACCGCCUGUGGAGACGCCGCAAGGU